RNAcentral lists this ribosomal RNA (1247 nucleotides) under Escherichia coli. Its description in RNAcentral is "bacterial SSU rRNA". It matches the Rfam family "Bacterial small subunit ribosomal RNA". The record is from RNAcentral. Lineage: Bacteria; Pseudomonadati; Pseudomonadota; Gammaproteobacteria; Enterobacterales; Enterobacteriaceae.
AAGCAGCUUGCUGCUUUGCUGACGAGUGGCGGACGGGUGAGUAAUGUCUGGGAAACUGCCUGAUGGAGGGGGAUAACUACUGGAAACGGUAGCUAAUACCGCAUAACGUCGCAAGACCAAAGAGGGGGACCUUCGGGCCUCUUGCCAUCGGAUGUGCCCAGAUGGGAUUAGCUUGUUGGUGGGGUAACGGCUCACCAAGGCGACGAUCCCUAGCUGGUCUGAGAGGAUGACCAGCCACACUGGAACUGAGACACGGUCCAGACUCCUACGGGAGGCAGCAGUGGGGAAUAUUGCACAAUGGGCGCAAGCCUGAUGCAGCCAUGCCGCGUGUAUGAAGAAGGCCUUCGGGUUGUAAAGUACUUUCAGCGGGGAGGAAGGGAGUAAAGUUAAUACCUUUGCUCAUUGACGUUACCCGCAGAAGAAGCACCGGCUAACUCCGUGCCAGCAGCCGCGGUAAUACGGAGGGUGCAAGCGUUAAUCGGAAUUACUGGGCGUAAAGCGCACGCAGGCGGUUUGUUAAGUCAGAUGUGAAAUCCCCGGGCUCAACCUGGGAACUGCAUCUGAUACUGGCAAGCUUGAGUCUCGUAGAGGGGGGUAGAAUUCCAGGUGUAGCGGUGAAAUGCGUAGAGAUCUGGAGGAAUACCGGUGGCGAAGGCGGCCCCCUGGACGAAGACUGACGCUCAGGUGCGAAAGCGUGGGGAGCAAACAGGAUUAGAUACCCUGGUAGUCCACGCCGUAAACGAUGUCGACUUGGAGGUUGUGCCCUUGAGGCGUGGCUUCCGGAGCUAACGCGUUAAGUCGACCGCCUGGGGAGUACGGCCGCAAGGUUAAAACUCAAAUGAAUUGACGGGGGCCCGCACAAGCGGUGGAGCAUGUGGUUUAAUUCGAUGCAACGCGAAGAACCUUACCUGGUCUUGACAUCCACRGAASUUUYCAGAGAUGAGAAUGUGCCUUCGGGAACYGUGAGACAGGUGCUGCAUGGCUGUCGUCAGCUCGUGUUGUGAAAUGUUGGGUUAAGUCCCGCAACGAGCAAUCGCUAGUAAUCGUGGAUCAGAAUGCCACGGUGAAUACGUUCCCGGGCCUUGUACACACCGCCCGUCACACCAUGGGAGUGGGUUGCAAAAGAAGUAGGUAGCUUAACCUUCGGGAGGGCGCUUACCACUUUGUGAUUCAUGACUGGGGUGAAGUCGUAACAAGGUAACCGUAGGGGAACCUGCGGUUGGAUCACCUCCUUACCUUAAAGAAGC